RNAcentral lists this unclassified non-coding RNA (342 nucleotides) under soil metagenome. RNAcentral's name for it is "partial contains 5.8S ribosomal RNA, internal transcribed spacer 2, and large subunit ribosomal RNA". The stretch from base 1 to 120 matches the Rfam family "5.8S ribosomal RNA", at positions 35 to 154 of the family's 154-position model. The record is from RNAcentral.
GAUGAAGAACGUAGCGAAAUGCGAUACGUAAUGUGAAUUGCAGAAUUCAGUGAAUCAUCGAAUUUUUGAACGCAUAUUGCACCUUAGAGUAUUCUUUGAGGUAUACCUGUUCGAGCGUCGUUUAGAACAAUAAAGCAUUGCUUUUUGAUGGACUUUGGAGCACGCAAGUUAACCAAUUUCCCAAACAUAGUGGCGUCCAGAUCUGCUUAAGCCAAUGUACAGUGAAAAUGUAUAGAGGAAAGUAGGAGUUGGGUUACGCAAGAACAAAUAACCAUACUAAAUGUUCGACCUCGAAUCAAGUAAGACUACCCGCUGAACUUAAGCAUAUCAAUAAGCGGAGGA